UGAAGCAUUUCAGCAAAGGGGGAAGAGCUCUUUGUUUCACCAAAAACCCUUGGCUUUGAUUAAAUUUCAAUAACUUUUGAUCCGGAACUCCGAUCGUUGCACCGUUUGCGACCAUGCGUUCACAGUGACGAGCUCUACAAAGUCUGGUACCUUUUAAGGAUCAAAUUGACUUGAGGAAUUGGUGAACUUUGGUUUGAUUGAGGCACAUACAAGGUGUAUAGGUGUAAAUGCUGGAGCUUGAAUUAUGAGCAUGGGAACCUUGUGGAGGUUGGGUACUUGAACUUCAAUGAUUUUGGGGGCUUGAGGGGCUAUGUUGGUUGGUGUUUUGCCUUGGACAAUACGUGAAAAUCGGCCAAGGUAUAAUUUAAGUUUCACGUAUUUAAUAUAUAAUGUUCUGUGAAAAUCGAACUUGGAAUGCUAAUUAAAGAUUUAUUGGUGCUUGUAAAGUGGAGAAGGUGAAUGAAUAUGAAUUGUAGUGGUUUGAUGGUGAUUAUUGUGACUAGAGUAAUGAGUUAUUGAUAAAGAGUUUAUGUAUGUAUUGGUGUAUGAUUGACUAAAGUAAAGUGAUGGAAGCUUUGGUAUUAUAAUUGGUAAGAAUAUGAUGUGAGUGAUGAAUUAAUGAAUGACGAAUUGAUGAUGAAUUUGGUGCUUGUUGGAUGAAUUAUGAAUGAUGAAUUGAUGAUGCUAU
Molecule: non-coding RNA, 688 nt
Organism: Arachis ipaensis
Lineage: Eukaryota; Viridiplantae; Streptophyta; Magnoliopsida; Fabales; Fabaceae
Source: RefSeq, a predicted model, not a curated record